RNAcentral lists this unclassified non-coding RNA (160 nucleotides) under soil metagenome. RNAcentral's name for it is "partial internal transcribed spacer 1". The record is from RNAcentral.
CCGAGUUUACAACUCUCAAACCCCUGUGAACAUACCAAUCGUUGCCUCGGCGGAUAGCCCGGCGUUGCGGUAAAGCCCACCGGGAUCAGGCCCGCCAGAGGACCCACUAAACUCUUGAUUCUAUAUGUAAUCUUCUGAGUAAACAUAGUUAAAUAAAUUA